This 119-nucleotide ribosomal RNA is filed under the name Delphinapterus leucas (beluga whale). Lineage: Eukaryota; Metazoa; Chordata; Mammalia; Artiodactyla; Monodontidae. The record is from RNAcentral.
GUCUACGGUCAUACCACCCUGAACGCGCCCGAUCUCAUCUGAUCUCGGAAGCUAAGCAGGGUCGGGCCUGGUUAGUACUUGGAUGGGAGACCGCCUGGGAAUACUGGGUACUGUAAUCU